GGGAGCGUAGACGGCAGUGCAAGUCUGGAGUGAAAGGCGGGGCUCAACCCCCGGACUGCUCUGGAAACUGUACAGCUGGAGUGCAGGAGAGGUAAGUGGAAUUCCUAGUGUAGCGGUGAAAUGCGUAGAUAUUAGGAGGAACACCAGUGGCGAAGGCGGCUUACUGGACUGUAACUGACGUUGAGGCUCGAAAGCGUGGGGAGCAAACAGG
RNAcentral lists this ribosomal RNA (211 nucleotides) under uncultured bacterium. Its description in RNAcentral is "partial 16S ribosomal RNA". It matches the Rfam family "Bacterial small subunit ribosomal RNA", at positions 565 to 776 of the family's 1533-position model. The record is from RNAcentral.